UGCCUCCUACUUUGCUAUCCAGACCACCUGCUCACACCCAAAGGAAACUGUACGAGCCACUUGUAGAUGCCCCCUCCAUGCCUACCGUGAAGUGACCUGUGCCCCUUCCUGAGCGUGAUAGUCACCAGCUAACGGAGAGGACGAGCUCAGCACCAGGCUGAUUUUCAUAUUCAGUUUUAUUUUCUCCUUAACAAUGUCGACAUUGUGGCCCAUAUGAGUGUUACAAGUUUCUGUACAUUAGUGGGAACAAAUAUAGUAAUAAAGUGAAUAAAUAAAUGAUGCAAUGCAAAGUAAAUAGAGUUGAUUGGCUUUAAUUGAACAUAUAUACAUUGAUCUUUUCAGGAACCCUCCCACCUUCUGAGAUCUCCUCUGCCCUUCGUACCCAUGAGCCAACCAACACACUGGUCCUUCUGUUGUUGUUCCCCCACUGACACGCAGACCAGACCCUCACACACCACACACUGGACCUUCUGCUGUUGUUCCUCCACCGACACGCAGACCAGCAGCAAAAGCAGCAGCAACAACAACCCAGACAGACAAAGAAAUGUUUCUCAUGUGGGCAGCCAAAAAUCCAGCUACCAAAGUGAGGUAUCAUCAGUUCAUCACUUUUAUCAACAAGGAGCCAUUGUUUACUACUAUUGCUCCACAAAGGUGUUUAAAGCCUAUUCUGCAGAGGGCCUGACAAAUCCUAGGAUGGCCCAAGAAGAGUUUGCACAGACUGAUUUCUUUCAGCGUGAACUUCAGCUAACAAAGCGCAGAGUGGAGGAAAAAGCUGAAAAGAAGAGGAAACUCCAAUUCUGUCGCACAGAGCUAAAGCAGGAUCCAAACAGCAAACAUGUACACACAGGGUUUCCAGGAGUUUCAGGAAAAUACAUUUACUGCCCACAUAAGUCCUCGCCUUAUAUAAAGACAGAGGCAUGACGAAGGAAAUGACAUGGAGGGAAUUUCAAGCCUCAUCAUUCUAUGGCAUGGAAAAGGAGAGGUGGGCAGCAGAAGGAAAGAUGUAGCAAUGCUGACAUUUUAUGUAUACUCUUAAUACAUUUCAUAUUUUAAUCAUCCACUGUUCUCAUAUUGCACCAUUCUGUUGCUCCAUCCAUUCUUUUCAAUUACAUACACAUUUCAAUCAGUUAUUGUUUUGCUUUGUUUGAGCUGGUCUUCAGAAUUUACCCCCAGACAUUGAAUGUUUUUUACCCAAGAUUCCGGAUCAUAUUCAAAACUCCAACUAUAGUACAAUUGGUGCUUGAUACUAAUGCAGGCAUAGUGUCAGGUGUGUAAAUUGUGUACUGAUUCAUUUAAUAGAUUUAGUCGUUU
RNAcentral lists this long non-coding RNA (1311 nucleotides) under Gouania willdenowi (blunt-snouted clingfish). RNAcentral describes it as "lncRNA (ENSGWIG00000008430.1)". The record is from RNAcentral. Lineage: Eukaryota; Metazoa; Chordata; Actinopteri; Blenniiformes; Gobiesocidae.